This 435-nucleotide ribosomal RNA is filed under the name uncultured Burkholderiales bacterium. RNAcentral's name for it is "bacterial SSU rRNA". It matches the Rfam family "Bacterial small subunit ribosomal RNA", at positions 1062 to 1503 of the family's 1533-position model. Lineage: Bacteria; Pseudomonadati; Pseudomonadota; Betaproteobacteria; Burkholderiales. The record is from RNAcentral.
GUGUCGUGAGAUGUUGGGUUAAGUCCCGCAACGAGCGCAACCCUUGUCAUUAGUUGCUACGAAAGGGCACUCCAAUGAGACUGCCGGUGACAAACCGGAGGAAGGUGGGGAUGACGUCAGGUCAUCAUGGCCCCUAUGGGUAGGGCUACACACGUCAUACAAUGGCCGGUACAGAGGGCUGCCAACCCGCGAGGUGGAGCUAAUCCCAGAAAACCGGUCGUAGUCCGGAUCGCAGUCUGCAACUCGACUGCGUGAAGUCGGAAUCGCUAGUAAUCGCGGAUCACCUCGCCGCGGUGAAUACGUUCCCGGGUCUUGUACACACCGCCCGUCACACCAUGGGAGCGGGUUCUGCCAGAAGUAGUUGGCCUAACUGCAAGGGGGGCGAUUACCACGGCAGGGUUCGUGACUGGGCUGAAGUCGUAACAAGGUAACCGU